Amaranthus tricolor (Joseph's coat) is the source of this 2864-nucleotide RNA transcript. It is a transcript of the gene named AT-hook motif nuclear-localized protein 2-like, with no coding region annotated. The transcript has 4 exons. The record is from RefSeq and is a predicted model, not a curated record. NCBI's taxonomy places the organism in Eukaryota, Viridiplantae, Streptophyta, Magnoliopsida, Caryophyllales, Amaranthaceae.
UUAAAUUCAUUUUCUUGAAAAAAAAAUUCAAAAAUCUUAAUUCUAUUACUAUUACUCUAAAAUCCGAUGGAUCCAAAUUUGAAUGAUGGCGGGUUAGAUUUUGACUCCCACUCGCAACAACAAGUACAAACGCCUUCCACUCCCUCUCCUCCUCUGCCUUCCACCGCCACUCCUGUCGCAAGUCCGCCGUCGACUAAUAGAACCUCCAACUCUUUAGAAACUGCUCCUUCCACAGCCACUCCUGUAGCAAGUUUGCCGCCGAGUAAUGGAACCUCCGUCUCUUUAGAAACUGCUCCUUCCACCGCCACUCCUGUUGCAAGUCCGCCGCCGACUUAUGGAAUCUCCAACUGCUCAGAAACUGCGCCUUUCACCGCUAGUCCCGUCGUACGUCCACCGCUGAAUAAUGGAACCUCCGAAUGGUCAGCCACCCCGACUAAUGGAACCUCCAAUUGUUCAGAAACUUUAGUUAAUCCUCAAUUUGUCGCAGGGAAUACGCCGGAUAGUCGAGGGCGUCUUAAAAGAGGAAGGCCAAAAAUAGAUGCCACACCAGAAGAGUUUUCUUUAAAAAAAUCUUUAAAAAUAUCUUCAGAGGAUGAUACAAAUUUUAAGACUCAUGUUGUCAAUGUGGCUUCUGAAGAGGAUGUAUACCAGAAAAUAUUGUCAUUAAUGCAAAAAACAAAAAAGGUGGUAUGCAUCUUAGCAGCUCAUGGUUUUACAUCUAGAGCAUCUCUACAACUACUAACCACAAUUGGAAAAAUUGUAACAUACAAGGUAUAUAAUAUAUUAAUUUUCUUCUUCAUGCAGCUUGAUUCUGAUUAUGCCUAUAUCGUUUGGAAUUAGUACAAAUUUUUCAAAUUUUUUUGUUCUAUUUAGUUUCUUCCUUGCUUAGAUCUUUUAUUAACUUAUGUGAGUUAAAAUGGUUUUGUUGGAGCAGAAUGAUUAUGUUUAUUCUUGGACCUUAAAUGAAUUUUUCUUGGCAGGUGUCUGUUAGAGUAUAUAACAUAUCUUAGGGCGUCAACCAUCAGCUUAAGCUUUUGGUUGAGUUGGUUCCUCGACAUGGUAUCAAAAGCCAACGUGAUAAGAGGUCAUGGGUCCGAAUCUCAACCACCCCUCAUUUAAAGUGGAAUAUUCAGUGCCUACGCGCAUCCACAAUUCUAGCCCAAUGGGCUCUCAUGUGAGAUGACGUGUUAGAGUAUAUAACAAAUCCUGGGGUCUCAACCAUCAAUUUAAGAUUUUGGUUGAGUUUGUUUAUAUACUCUAACACACGCCCUCACACGAGAGCCUUUUGGGCUAGAAGUGUGGAUGCAACAUAGGUCCUCUUCAUACCUGGCGCUUAUUCCACUUUUAAAUGAGGAGUGGUUUAGAGUCGAACUCGUGAACUCUUGUCACGUUGGCUCUGAUACCAUGUACUCAACCAAAAGUUUAAGCUAAUGGUUGAGACCCUAAGAUAUGUUAUAUACUUUAACAGUGCCUCUGUUUAUUAUAGAUCACUUUGACCAAUUUAUGUAUGUUCAGGACAGUGUCACAUGAUUCGUUAAUGUCCUCGUGAAUCAAGAAAAGCGAAUUAUGGUUGGUUUUGGGCUAUUUUUGGAAAAAUUGAGCGAAUAACGAAUUCAAAAAGUAAUUAGCUUGCGAUUCAUGUUAUACUGGUUGUGGAGUUGAUCAAGGAUGUUUCCAAAUUUCUCUUGGAUAUACUACAAACUACUAAAAAUGCCUUGGAUAAUGGACUAUGAGACGUGUCUAUGAUUCCUGAUGGUUGUUAACUGCUGGCUUGUAAAGAAGCCUAGAAUGUAGAAGUCUAGUUUACUUGCUGAAAGCCUGAAAGGGGCCAAUCUGGUAAUGAGUUAAUAAGAUCUAUGGCUGUACGAGUGCUUUUAGGGAAUAUUGUUGGAACUGAAAGAGUGAAUGUUUUUGUGAUCUACAUUACCCAUAAAUGUUUGGGCACAAGUACCUGUUCAAGUGUCAGCAAUUCCAGGAUCAAAAUUUUAGACUAAGGAUCAUUGUCAUGGCCAGGCAUACACCAUGCAUGAACAGUACAUACCUGAUAGAAGAAUUUCAUAUGCUUUAGUUGACUUAUUUGCUACUCCCUUUGCAAGCACUAUAUCACUCAGCAUAUUCUUUCUCUAUUUUUUUACAAAAAAUUUUUGAUAUCUGGACUCUGGAUAAGGAUUGGAAGUUUCAGUUAACCCUAGCAGGCUAGCACCACUAGUUAGAGUAUUUAGUAUAGGUCUAUGUUACACGUAUCCGUGUCCAAUUCUUGAUGCUCGGACAUUGGUAUGACACUUAGACACUUUAUUUUUGGCGUAAAAUUGAAUAUUUAGACGUAUUCAACACUUGGACACGCACCGGUAUCCAACGUCAGUGAGUCCAAGUAAAAUUGAAUAUUUAGGCUUAAAAUCGAAUAGUUAGAGUAUUGAGUGUAGGUCAUCUCUUGCUUUUCCUUGUAUGUUAUGACUUUAUACCUAGUUUUCAGCCUGCCUGUUUUUUAAACGAGUGUAUAAUCAUAAAAACGUAUGCUCAUUUUUAACUGUGGGGGCUAUAAAGUUGCUGCGUUUUCUCAUUUUUGUGUUAGAGAUGUCGUCAAAUCCUUUCGCUUACUGGCUCUUAUGUCGAUUCACAUUCUGAAGAGAAAACGGGAGGUCUUAAUGCAUCUCUACUUGACACAGAUGGACAGGUUGUUGGAGGCCGCUUAGUCGGUCCUCUAAUUGCUGCAGGCCCUGUUGAGGUCUUAGUUGCUACCUUUGUCAUCAAACCUAAGAAAGAUGCUAGUGCUGGUGUCCAAAAUCAUGCUUCUUCAAGUUUAAUACCGGCAGCAGCUUCUGACAUUUUAAUGCCGUCAGCUAAUUCUGCAUUUACUAAAUAUC